Molecule: long non-coding RNA, 664 nt
Organism: Ailuropoda melanoleuca (giant panda)
Lineage: Eukaryota; Metazoa; Chordata; Mammalia; Carnivora; Ursidae
Exons: 5
Source: RefSeq, a predicted model, not a curated record
CGCGCUUCCUUUUUCCCAGCUGCCGCGGUGCUGGCGUGUCUCGUGUUGAGAGAUUGGGCCUGCUGCCGUUCACGCUAUCCUCCUCUCACCCCUCCGUAGCCUCGCCGCUACCCGCCCUGCACACGCCGGGCCUACCUCUCAAGGCUGCGGGAUGUUGAGAGCGGCACGGAGCUGCUGGGCCUCCCGGCCUGCUGGGACCAAGGCCCGGAAGGCCUGGUCCGCCGCAUGCGCGGUGAGAGGGGCCGGGGCCCGCGAGGGCCGCACCUGCCCCCGCCUCGGCUCGCGCAUCCCUGCGCUGCAGUGCGACGGCUGUGCCAGAUGAAGAUUCCAGGAGGACUUUGAAGUGGAGCUUUUUGGUGAGGAUUCUGGGGUCAUGACUGAUGGAACACAACCGCCUCGGGGCCUGGUUGCCCCCAAGUGUCCCUGUCAGCAUCUGCUACUGAAGAGUCUGAGGACACCGGUUGUUGCUGUGUUUUUAGAUAAGGUGGUUACCAGUAAAGCUGUCCCGUCUGAUGAUGGGUGUAGAGUUGGGACAGAAACACUAUGGGAAGAGGCAAGCUGAAUGAAGAGAACAGAUUAUUUUAGUGGAAAACCAUGACCUUUGUAUUUCUGAUACUGCUGGCACAUGGCACGGAAGUGACCAGUAAAAUACUUGAAGUAUGUU